UUGGGGCGGUGCAGUGUGGUGUCGUCAUGAUUGCUUGCAAUGUGGCGAACACAGAGCAGUCAUGUUGGGACCCGAAAGAUGGUGAACUAUGCCUGAGCAGGACGAAGCCAGAGGAAACUCUGGUGGAGGUCCGAAGCGGUUCUGACGUGCAAAUCGAUCGUCAGACUUGGGUAUAGGGGCGAAAGACUAAUCGAACCAUCUAGUAGCUGGUUCCCUCCGAAGUUUCCCCCAGGAUAG
This 237-nucleotide ribosomal RNA is filed under the name Nematoda environmental sample. RNAcentral describes it as "partial large subunit ribosomal RNA". It matches the Rfam family "Eukaryotic large subunit ribosomal RNA", at positions 745 to 981 of the family's 3401-position model. Lineage: Eukaryota; Metazoa; Nematoda. The record is from RNAcentral.